Molecule: non-coding RNA, 110 nt
Filed under: Vibrio tubiashii
Lineage: Bacteria; Pseudomonadati; Pseudomonadota; Gammaproteobacteria; Vibrionales; Vibrionaceae
Description: TPP sequence
Rfam family: TPP riboswitch aptamer (THI element)
About the family: Vitamin B(1) in its active form thiamin pyrophosphate (TPP) is an essential coenzyme that is synthesised by coupling of pyrimidine and thiazole moieties in bacteria. The previously detected thiamin-regulatory element, thi box was extended, resulting in a new, highly conserved RNA secondary structure, the THI element, which is widely distributed in eubacteria and also occurs in some archaea.
Source: RNAcentral
CGGAAAUAGUCGGGGAGCCUACCCAAUAGGGAAAGGGCUGAGAUCGCGAAGCGAGACCCGUUGAACCUGAUUCAGUUAGCACUGACGUAGGGAACUAUGCACACUAAUUC